Long non-coding RNA from Gasterosteus aculeatus aculeatus (three-spined stickleback), 2428 nucleotides. Lineage: Eukaryota; Metazoa; Chordata; Actinopteri; Perciformes; Gasterosteidae. The record is from Ensembl.
CUGGAUGUUCAAACGGUGACAUUUAAACACAAUACACAUUGCAACAGCUGAUGCCUUUUCAAUGUUGCCUCUGCAGCUUAUUUUGAAAAAAAAGUUUAUUAAACAGGAACAAAUCGGUAUUUACAACAAACAUUUCAAUCAUGGCUGUAGCCGAAUGCACGUCUGCGCUCUGCAUCACUCCCACAGUUAUCCUCUUUCACGUAUUCAAACCGGCUGAAACUGCUGCUCCCUGGGAGGAAUGUGUCAUGGGAUAUGUACGCACGGAGCCUCUAUCUUGCGCUAAUGGAAGCAGCUGUUUUGAGUGGCCUAUUUAUGAGCGCUUCAUGUGAGUCAUGGUGGUCUCUCCAAAUGAAUUGGGCUGUAGUGCAGCCAGCAACACAACAGCAAAGCUUUGAAUGCCAACAAGAAAAUAAUAGCAUUUAUUGUUCUAGAAGAGAAGAAAAAAACGCAGUUGUCUCACAAUGCUGGAAAAAGUGUAAUGAGUACAUUUACUUUACUGUACUACCUAAUUCAUUUUGUUUGUGUGAAUCUUUCAUGCAACUCGCUUCGUUGCGUAGCGAGGUGAUCCGCUUCCUGUCACAAAGUCCACCUUGAUCACAAAGUGUUCUCACUAAGUGCUUUCAAGUCGCCUAAUCCCAGCACUCAUUUCAUUUUUCACCUCGUUGGCUUGAGUUUUGCUUUGGUGUGACAUCAAAGAGGCGGCACCACAAACAAGCUGUAAAUUGCCCUUUGGAGUAUUGGGAGAUAACAGUACAAGAUCGCUGCCAAAACGAAUUCAUCCGAGUGAAACUUGGCAGCAGGCCUGUUUCAUCACAGGCACUGCUUUGAAUUCCACCUCCAUACGCGCUGAAGGAAAAUGUACAUCCUGCAAAUCACAAAUGAAAACUUUACUGAUUGUAGGUGUUAGGUUAUCGUUUCCCCUGAAAACAUGAAAACAGCCCAAAAGGAUUGAUGCUCAACAGCAACACUGAAAGAACUGAGAUGAAAUUAAAUUGGACGUAAAGGAUCAGGAACAUCCUGCUUGAACCAAUCUGAACCCUUUAUUUCCCCUCUGCCUUAUGUGACACUUUUCACACGUUACCUCGAUACAGGUACUCUGCUCGACCGUGUGACGGGAUCGUCUAUAAGUUGAAGAGUUCUACUAUGACAUAUCGAACUACAAGAAAACCUCCCAGCCGAGCAGGUUGAACUUCGGGGGAGUUUUCGAAAUGAAUGUGGGUGAAAAUAAAUUAGAAAUGGGCCAACAUUGGUUUCUGUACAUAAUUCUUUAAGCAUCCUUUAAAGGUUAAAAGAAGGGUGGUGUUUGGGGUGUAAGAGGCAACAGGUGCAACAUAUCUCAAAUAUUUAGUAUGUAAUGUUAUCUUUUGAUUUGUGUUUUAUAUGAUAUGACAUGAAUAUUGUGCCAAAUGUGGAAUAGUCUGGAGCCAACUGAUUAGACAUCUAAUGUGACAUAGAAAAGGUCAAAUUGUUUAUUAGUAUAAUGUUAGAGGAGUAGUUGAACAAUUUACUCCCGUAAAUUCCAGACAAUAGAGCGCACCUGAAUAUAAGCGGCACCAAUCAUCAACCAAUCAGAACGCUUGAUUUCAUCUGCCCCGUAUUAUAAAAGAAUAUACGAUACGGGAUAUGAAACAUAACCAGUAGUCGAAGUGCAAGCAGCCAGUUGAAUGGUGAACUUAUGCUACUUAGUUGAAUUCAUAUAUUUGUGAAUCUGACUCAGCCGCCCUUACGGGGUUCAAAGCGUGGGAGAAAAGUAGCGGCUUAUAGUCCGGAAUAUACGGUAAUUAAAAUGAAGCUACAAAGGCUGGUGCUGACCUUUAACCCCAGGUACGGGUUAUUAUUAGAAAACAGCUCCAUCCUGUUUCCCAUUGUGCAAAUAACUAAGUAGUGUCGACCUCUCAGAAACUGCCAAUUCAAUUUCCACGUCUUUCAAACUUUAGCAGUUUUUGCUAAUCAAUUUAUUAAUGAGAUAUUAUAAUAACAAUCAACCAAAAGGUUGUGGAAUUAAACAAUUCAAUUUUUUCUAAUAAAACUAAACAUAAUUUAAGGAGAAAUAGUAUUUUUAAUAUAUAUAAUAGGUAUUCUGAUCAGUUAUAGACAAGUUAUUGUCACUAUUCUUGAUAAAUUACAACAGGCAUCUUUCUAAUAAAAGUCAAAGCCUGACAAAAACGUUUGUCGAAAGCUGUCUUUUUAUAUUUAAAGCAUUGUUGGUGUUCAUUCCUGAAACGCUCACAUUCACCAUGUUGUAUAGUGUGUGAUUGUCCACGUGCAGAAUGUUCAACCCGAGACAAAGUGAUGUACAGAUGGAAGUAAACGUCAGGCGUCGUAGUCCUUUCGCUGGCAGAUGGUGCAGUAUGAACGAACCAGCUGAGCCCAUAUUAUCCUGCAGCGUUCUCCCCCACUCUCCACCUCCACAGCAUCAAAAAUCCCC